RNAcentral lists this ribosomal RNA (406 nucleotides) under uncultured bacterium. RNAcentral describes it as "partial 16S ribosomal RNA". It matches the Rfam family "Bacterial small subunit ribosomal RNA", at positions 29 to 526 of the family's 1533-position model. The record is from RNAcentral.
AUUGAACGCUGGCGGCGGGCCUAACACAUGCAAGUCGAACGAGUGGCGGACGGGUGAGUAAUGUCUGGGCAACUGCCUGAUGGAGGGGGAUAACUACUGGAAACGGUAGCUAAUACCGCCUACGAUCGGAUGUGCCCAGAUGGGAUUAGCUGGUAGGGGGGGUAAAGGCUCACCUCGGCGACGAUCCCUAGCUGGUCUGAGAGGAUGACCAGCCACACUGGAGCGGAGACACGGUCCAGACUCCUACGGGAGGCAGCAGUGGGGAAUAUUGCGCAAUGGGCGCAAGCCUGAGGCAGCCAUGCGGCGUGUAUGAAGAGGGCCUUCGGGUUGUAAAGUACUUUCGGCGGGGAAGCGUUACCCGCAGAAGAAGCACCGGCUAACUCCGUGCCAGCAGCCGCGGUAAUUC